CCUGCAGAAGAAAAUUCCAAUGGGACAAGAGAAGUAUGAAGUAAAAAUAACAACAAAGGCUCCCCAGGCUAUUUGAAGGACACUACAGCUGUGCCUCACAGACAGUACAGUGGUUGAAUACAAAGUCUUGUAUCUAAUAGGUCAGGCUUUUAGUAGCAGAAUACCUUAAACUUUCUAGUACUCCAGUUUCAUAAAGGUAGAAGAUGAAGUCCAAAAUGUAGUUGCCUGCACUGUGCAAGAGUGGAGUACUGAAAAGAUUUUGGAAGAAAUCAGCCAAACAUGGAAUGCCGUGGGAUUUUCUUACCAAGAGCAUAAAAGAUUAGAAAUUCCUUUAUUAAAGGCCAAUGAACAGCUGCUUGAAACUUAAGCAGUUGGUGACUAACAUUACAAAUAAAGAAAAUGUGAUGGAAGCUACAAGAAAGUCCAAGGUGUAUGAAAGCUUUGAAGCUCUGCAGCAAAGGCUCUUCAGCUAUCAGUGAGUGGUGCUCCUGCAGGACCAGCUGACACAUGACCAGAGACCAUGGAAGAUUUAGGCUGUGCCCUUGGCAUGAUGGUGAAAAUUUCCAACUCUUCAGAACACAUAGAUGAUGAGAACCUGUGCCAUGGUUGUCCCUGACACUGAACUGGUCUCUGAGAUGAUGUUGGCUGCUGAAGGGUUUAUUGAUGCUUGUCUGUUGGCCAGGAAAUUCAUCACCUUGUAACCUGUCUGCAGGGAGCUACUCCCUGAACAGAGUUACCACUGUCAUGGAAGAGGAUAGAGGCAUGGAUGGCAUCUGUCAACUUAAAAUGGGCUGUUAUGACUGAGGACUUCAUGCUAUCAAGUCAGUUUGGAUAAUUGAAGGGUCCCUGAAACAAGGAGACAAGAACAGACCUGAGGAUUGGGCGUGAUCAGUGACCUGUUUCCAGCUCUGGAUGUUCUGAGGAUGAGGAACCUACAGUUUGAACAGAUGGUUAAACAAUCUACCCUGGAGCUGUAGUUGCAGCCAGAAGAGAACUUUAUUCUCAAAGUAAAAUAAUUCAUUGUCUUUAAUUACUCCCCUUAAGAUUUUGAUCACAAGAAUUGCCAAUGGGCUGGUUGUAUUAGGGGUGAAGAUUAUUUUUGAGUAAGUUAAAGCAUUGAUAAAGCAAUGAUUCAGUAUUUCAAAGGCACUUCAUGACAGCAGUAAUGUUCCUCAGUAUGAUAAAUAUGUCCAUAAGAAAGUGUGUGUCCUGUUUGGAAAAACUGUGUACAUUGACAAUAUAGAGUGACAAAAACAUUUGUGCACAGUAAGAAGAAUUUGUGUUUGGUAGCAAAUUCAUUGUUGGUCAGAUAUUUACAGUGAGGUAAGAGGAGAAAGUGAACAAAAAUAUAUAAAUAAGAAGGUGUGGAUAUGGAAUUUGCAUAGUUAUAUGUGAGUAUUGUGUGCUCUGGCUUUUAUGUAUAAUAUAAUGCAUGUGCAUGCAUGCAUGUAUACUCACAAGAAUUAGUUGCCCAUAAGCUAAAUUUAAGCACUAAUUUAGUUUAAUUACAGACAGGAUGAAAAAGUGAAACAUAGAAACACUGGUUAGUACACAGACCAAAUAAAAAGUACAUAUAUUUCCACCUUUCUUCAAGGAGCGUCCAUAGCUGUGUAUGUGACAGCAUACUCCUUACCUUUAUUGGGGUAGAUUGGAAAUAACCAAGUUGGUUGAAUGUUAUUGAUCAGAAGAUUUAUAAAGGAUUUUGUGCUCUUCUCUCUCUUGUUCCGUUAUCCUGACAGAAGUGUGAAAGACAAUAAGGUAUGCCUUGGGGAAUUAUGAACUUUACAAUCAGCCUUCUAAAGAGCAUUUUGUUCCCUGCUGACUGGGUAAGUCAGAAGACAAGCACUGGGGAUCAUGAACUUGUUCCUGUUUGGCUUUGAAAAAUCAGAGUGACCACUUUUCACUAAAACAGAAAUCCGCAAGAAGCCAAGCUAUUUCUAUUCUGUGACUCAUACAAGUAUUUCUUUGGAAGCAAUGCAUUACUUCAGAAAACUGACUUUGUAUUUUUAUGAAUUACAGCAGAAUCCACUCUGUCAAAGCAAUGGCAAAAUUGCGAUAAUGGCUCUGUAUCCUUGGAUUUUCACGGUCCUGCUGGACUGUGUCGCUGCCUGGAGAAUAGGAUUUGUUCUCACUUGCUGAGGUUUCCUGUCAUCUUCUCUGAGAGAACAAGCCAAUAUUACCCAUGAGGGGCCAAAAACAUUUGUUUUAAAUAUAGAUCCUAUGUUGACUGAGUCCCUCAACACUGUUAUGGAUGCUAACAAGGAGAACUCACCCAGCAAAGCAGGCUAGUUACCUUUUAAUUAAUUAAACUCCAACAAACUCAUACGAGGUUCUGACCCUUACAAGCAAUGAAUGUGUGUCUAUGACUCUGCCAGUGUGGCUGCUGUUUGUGGUACACAUUUAGGAGCUGCUGCCCCAACUACAAUAUCCAGAGCUGGUAUUCAUCCCCCAAAACCCCAGGACCUGGAGUAGAACCUGGAUAUUUGAAAAAAAGCUGGAGAAAGAACAUGGUCAUACCUAUUUCCAGUAAAAGAAGGAGAAACUCUUCCAUUUUAUUGGUGAUUUGAAUAUACCUGAAGUGGAGAGAUAUGGAAUGGUUCAGCCUCAUGAAUUGAUUUAGCAGCAUAUUGAUUAUGGACACUGGUAGAUCUUGCCAGUUUGUACAUCAAGACAGGUGCCAAGAACAUGCCCACAGUGUUUUUGCUGACAGAUGCCCAAGUUCCAGAUGAAUGCUUUCUUGUGCUGAUUAAUGACUUGUUGGCAUCAGGAGAGGUUCCAGAUCUGUCAGGGAUGAAGAAUUGAAGGUCAUAGUUGCAGGAGUUAGAAAAGAAGUCUGAGCUCUGGGCCUGAUGGACAUCCUUGAAGAACACUCCUGGAGGUGAUUCCUGAGACUGUGGCUGCAGUAGAAAGUAGAAGAUCUAAAAUCCAAACUUGCUACUCAAGAGGCAGACUGGCAACAGAAAAAUCAAGAUACUGAAGCUUUGAUUGCUCGGAUAGGGUUUCAGACUGAGAAACUGAGCCAAGAGAAGUCCAUUCCAAAUGCAGAGGAGCUAAAGAUUUCAAAUUGGAACUUACAAGAGCUUUUAGAGUUUUACAACCUUAAGCAAGUUUAAGCAAGACCUGACAGGAGAUGAGCCUGUGAGAUGAGCAUGAGGUACAAGGAUAAGGAUGAAUAAAGUAUAACUGACUUCAGCCUCAGGCAAUGUAUCUUUAAAAGUGUGUAUAGUAAUCUUCCAAAUAUACAAUUGCUGAUGAUACAGAAUGCCCCCCAGGUUUACUCUCCCAGAUAAAUUUGCACCAAUGAAAUCAUAAUCCACUUUUAAACUGGUAAUUAAAUUGUUGCAGAGGCAUUCAGAUUUCAUGUAAGACUCAUGCUAACUAAUGUAAAGUCACUGAUCUAAGCCACUCUUAAGCCAAAAUAAGUGUCUUGACAAAGCUGCUUAAACUGAUGAUUGUUUAAUUUCCAAACCAGAAAUUAAGUACAGUGUUUUCAUAUAGGAUAUUUCCAUUUCUCUCAUUCCCUCCCUUGUUGUGACCUAUGGUUUCAGACUUGAAGAAUAAAAAGAAGGCAAAUUUGGCAAAAGAUGGAGGUUGGUUUGACAAAUUUUAUAUGUUUUCCUCUACCUCAAAACUGGAGUGAAUAUUUUACUAUUUAGGGAAAGCUCCAGUUCCAACACUGAACCAGUCAUUGCCUUCUUGGAAUUUCCUCUAAUUAUCUGAAAGAGAACCCUUUGAAGGGGAAGAAGGGGUAGUGAGGGAAAAAAGUUAACAGGUCUCAAAAUCUUAGCAAAAAGUCUUCACUCUCUUGUUUAGCUCCAGCUUUUGCAUUGUAACCUAGAUCAUGAAAGGCUUGCAGCUUGCCUGCUGCAGUGGCAUGGGCUACUGAGUUCCUCCCUGUGUUCAGUAACUCCUCAGGAGUAACAGGCUGCCCUGACAUUCCCCAGCUUUUUUGUAGAGAUACCUUACCUGGUGUCCUGCCCUGCAUUACUAGAUAACACCCCAUCCCUCAGGUGUGUCAGUCACACUACUCACUUUGGUAUCAUCUGCAAAUCUGCUGAGGGUGAACUUGAUCCCACUGUGCCACUGAUUAAAUAUGAACUCUUCUGGCUGUGUUUCCUUCCAGCCCCUCACACAGCCCCAGUCCCCUCACCUGUGCAGAAAGGGCCUUAGCUCUGUGUAAUCCCUGCUCAACAAUAACAAAAACAUCUCUGUAUUAUCAGCCCUAUGUUCAGCACAAAUCCAAAACACAGCACCACACCAGCCACUGUGAAGAAAAUUAACUCUACCCCAGCUGAAACCAAUAUUCUGUCACAUAAAGGGAAAGGGCUCAAGGAUGGAAGCUGGAAAACCACAGAACUCUUUAUAGGAAAGCUUGAAUUUAAAGGGAGAAGAUAUGACCCUGCAUUGCUCUUUUCUGUGUACCUUUGGUGACAAACUCAAGCCAGCCUGAGCACAACUGGAAUUUACUGAGUGCAAAACCAGGAGAAAAUGAAAGGGGGAACAUUUCAUUAUAUUUAUCCCAUUUCCCCCUAAUUUCUCAAGCAAGACAAAAAUCACAAAUUGUGUUUGUGACAGUGAAUACUUCUGUGUUUGGGGAAAAUAUUUUUGCUUUGUACUGACUGAAUAGCAUUUCUAAAGCAAUUAACUUGUGCAGGAUUCCAGUGUUACCUUUGAGAUGAAAGUAGGAUUUAGCUUCUGCUUCUCAAAAAAUUGAACGUUAUAUACACUGGAAGUUCUCACAGGUUGAUGACUCUUUGCAAGAUUUAAUUGACUAUGAUAAGGAGCAUAUUUCUCAGAAUUGUCUGAAGGUUGCCAAGGAGCAUUACUUGAAAGAUCCAGAUUUCAACCCAAAUUAUGUUCAUGCAAAAUCCUUUGCAGCAGCUGGUCUCUGUGCCUGGACCAUCAAUAUAGUAAAAUACAAUGAGGUGUGUAUAUAUCAGCCCUUGAACGAUCCCUGAUGGGGGAAUUUGGGUUAAUGAAUUUUUUUAUUAUCUUAGGAGGCUCAGCUUAGUGUUCUGGGGAGCUUGUAACACCCACCAGAGAUAAAGUGGGAAAUGUUCAGUACUUGGCAGUAUGUAUGCAUGUAUUUAUUUUUAGUAGGAAGUGAUAAAAAAAAGAUGUAGCUGUCCAGGACUUUUCAAUUGUCAUUACAAUACAACAGUUGGGAAAUAUUCUCCAGAUGUACAUGUUUCAUUUGAAACAUCUAUCCAGGGUCUGGCUGUCUGCAGUAUAAGACAGGCUUAUCACUUGUGAUUCCCUGGAGCACCUGGCAGCAGGAUUUCUCCAUUCAUCCUAGCAUUAUAGCAUCCUCAUUUAAUUACAGAAUAGUAAAAAACUUAUCAAUUGUAGAUGAUAAGUACAUUUAUCAAGUGUAAUGCCUGUCUGAUUUCCACCUGUAUCCUAAAAUCAUGAAAGUGAUACAUAUAAAUUAAUUCUAGCUGGAGAGUAGACUCACUAAGGUUGCAUUCAGUUCUGCUUAAAAUAUCCUUCCAUAGACUAUCAUAAAAUCUGCUGUAGUCAGUAGUGAAAAAAAUCUUUGCCUGACUCACUGUUGUGUAGAAAGAUGGGUCUAAAGCAAAGAUAUGUAAUGAAAGACUACUAGGAUUAUCUUAAAGUCUUGCAUCAGGAGUAAUUUGUGAUUUUUGCAAUAAAGUGAGGCCAAUUUCUCCUCUAAAGUACAAAUGUGGUAUGUCUUUUUCAAGGUGUGUUGAGAGAGAGAACCAAAAUGUGUGCUGGCUCAACACUGAACUAGCAGCAGCUACAGGAAAACUAGAAACCAUCAGGAAAAAGCUUCUUGUAAGUGCUGCUUGGUUAAUGAGCUUCUUGAAAUUAUAUGUCUGAGAGAUGCAUUUCCUCUGAUGCUUAGUGCCUGGUUUCCUACCUGUUAAGUGCUAGAGGAUGAUGAGAGGCUGAGUUGAUUAGAAAAGUUCAGUAGAUGAAAUGAAGUCUGCAGACUGAGUUUAACGUCUAUCAAAGUUUCAACAGUUCCAUUUUUUCAACCAUGGUGCUUCUUGAUCUGCUGGACUUA
Molecule: long non-coding RNA, 6028 nt
Organism: Catharus ustulatus (Swainson's thrush)
Lineage: Eukaryota; Metazoa; Chordata; Aves; Passeriformes; Turdidae
Exons: 21
Source: RefSeq, a predicted model, not a curated record